AGCCCUGGGGGAUGUGGCCUUGCAUGAUGGCCAGGACUGCUUGAAGAGCAGGGGCCAUUUGAGAGAGCCCAGAAGGGGCUGAGACAGUUCAAACCAGGGUACUGUGAUAGGCCUGAGCUCAGGAAUAGGGCUGCAGAUAAAGAGACAUUAUGGAGGGCUUUGGGAUAUGCCCAGUUGGACUUGUGUCCUGGAAGGGGGUUGAUAUUUUUUUAUUUCUCAUACUGUCUGUGUGUGACUUGGCUGCAGGGCUGAGUCACUGAAGACCUGACAUAAGCUAAGAGAGCAGGCAUGUGCAGUGAGAUGGGGGUACUUGUGAGAGGAAGAAGAGAUACAAGUACAGAUCCAGGGCAUGAUUGAGCUCCAAAAUAUUAGGACUGGAUCAUCCUUUUUGCAUCUGCAAGCAGAGAACCAAAAUUCUCCCUCAGGAGGGCAUGGAACUGGGUAGCUGCAACAUUCCUCACAGCUUGCAGAUGUUCCUCCAUAAAGGAUCUCUAAAGAUCAGGCUCCACGUGUGGAAGAUCCAAGGUCACUCCAUGGCUUUGCCUUCUUCCAAUGCAGCCAGAUGUCCCAGUGCAUAUUAAUGCAGAUCCAAUCUCAUAUUCCUGUUUGCCCCAUGGAUUUGGGGGGGUGAGGAGAAUCUGGCAUAGUGUGGCCGGUCCUUUCUCCCCAGAUCACAUGCCCUGCCUAUCCUCUGCUCACCUGUUUAUCUGGCUCCUCCUGCCCAGGGACUUCUAUGUGGGGAGAGGCAUACAUGCUGUGGAGGCAGCUUUCCCAAACUACUGCUCCUUCCUGGCUCAGAUCUGGUGGGAGGGAAGGUUGGCUUGCUGUGUUCAUGGAAACAUAGGGGAGUCCCUAUAACACAGGGAAGGGGACAACAGAGAAGGAAGCAGGAGGGAGGUGGUUUCCACAAGCUAGGUCCAUGAAGCUAGUCGUUUGCACAGUGCAUGCAUUGUACACUGAUCUUUGAUGCUGACGCUGUCAUUUUAAAAUUUAUUUUUAAGUUUUCCUUUUCCUUAAUUUGGUGCAUGAGGGUGGCUCAGCCACUUAA
Chelonia mydas (Green sea turtle) is the source of this 1048-nucleotide long non-coding RNA. RefSeq lists it as uncharacterized. The record is from RefSeq and is a predicted model, not a curated record. The transcript is spliced from 2 exons. Lineage: Eukaryota; Metazoa; Chordata; Testudines; Cheloniidae.